Long non-coding RNA from Zophobas morio, 565 nucleotides. RefSeq lists it as uncharacterized. The transcript is spliced from 3 exons. The record is from RefSeq and is a predicted model, not a curated record. Lineage: Eukaryota; Metazoa; Arthropoda; Insecta; Coleoptera; Tenebrionidae.
UUUAUUUCUGGUUUGGAAGGAUUUUUGGCAAAAGCCAUAUCAAGCUGUUCCUUGCUUACUUGACAAAUUCUCCACUUGUGGAAUUUCGUCAAUAUUUUUGCUGGCUUCAUCCUCAGCUUUCCGGUGAGGUUUGUCCUCACGGGACAGGUAAAAACAGUAGAGUCAAUGAUUUUCUUUCGAAUACUUCCGGGAUUAUGAAGAAAACUCAAGACCGGCGUCUGUACAACCCUUCGUUCAGUUUUCUUUUUUUAAUCGCUGGUGUUUCAGCUGUCAAUAAAUUCGCGCUGCGCCUGCCGAGAAUCUCGACGGCCGCUUUGAUAGGCUUAAGCGCCCUAUGGUUAUUUUGGAGUAAUUUUGCCAUUCCGAUUCACAAAAACUUAUUUCCGCAGGCAACCCUAACAAUGCUACUGUAACAAAAGUCUUUAGCUCUAUAACUCUUUCUGCAAUAUCGUGUAGACCACUCUAUCUAGUCUUACAAGUCAAUUUCAAACUUUAUUUCUCUUCCAAGCUGAUGUUUAACAUUAUUUUGCAUAGAAACCUAAAUUUUAAUUAACUUUACAACUUA